This 68-nucleotide ribosomal RNA is filed under the name Pogona vitticeps (central bearded dragon). The record is from RNAcentral. Lineage: Eukaryota; Metazoa; Chordata; Lepidosauria; Squamata; Agamidae.
UUCUGGAAGCUUAGGUCUGGUUAGUACUUGGAUGGGAGGCCACCAGGAAGACCUGGGAAUUCCAGGUA